AGUGAACGCUGGCGGUAGGCCUAACACAUGCAAGUCGAACGGCAGCACAGUAAGAGCUUGCUCUUACGGGUGGCGAGUGGCGGACGGGUGAGGAAUACAUCGGAAUCUACUUUUUCGUGGGGGAUAACGUAGGGAAACUUACGCUAAUACCGCAUACGACCUACGGGUGAAAGCAGGGGAUCUUCGGACCUUGCGCGAUUGAAUGAGCCGAUGUCGGAUUAGCUAGUUGGCGGGGUAAAGGCCCACCAAGGCGACGAUCCGUAGCUGGUCUGAGAGGAUGAUCAGCCGAACUGGAACUGAGACACGGUCCAGAAUCCUACGGGAGGCAGCAGUGGGGAAUAUUGGACAAUGGGCGCAAGCCUGAUCCAGCCAUACCGCGUGGGUGAAGAAGGCCUUCGGGUUGUAAAGCCCUUUUGUUGGGAAAGAAAAGCAGCAGGUUAAAACCCCGCUGUUCUGACGGUACCCAAAGAAUAAGCACCGGCUAACUUCGUG
This 492-nucleotide ribosomal RNA is filed under the name uncultured bacterium. RNAcentral describes it as "partial 16S ribosomal RNA". It matches the Rfam family "Bacterial small subunit ribosomal RNA", at positions 29 to 507 of the family's 1533-position model. The record is from RNAcentral.